CUACAGCAAAGGGGUGGCCGACACUCUUAGUCACACCUAACUCCCUUAAUCUGAAAAUUGAUUCGAUUUAGAAUGGAAUUCACAGAAAACGGCGGCACGGAUUCCAACAAUCUUGGUGCAGCAAUGGACGCAGCUAAGUUAGCCGGAUGGCAUUUAAGGGUUUAUUAUCUAACAGUCGGUAGCUGCACCACCAGUGUAAGUCCAUAACAUAACCUCACUAUUUGACGUGUUUACAUCAAGUUUUCAUUUGUUAAAAUAGGGAAGGAAUGGGCGUUGCGUACUUACUUGGCCAAGUGAUUUAUGCAGCAAUAUAAAUUCUUGAUUUUAUAGUGAUCAUCAAGCUGAGAAAAUAGAACGAGUACAUGCCUUUCAUGAAAGACUUUGUUACACAUUGACUGGCCACAUGGUGUUUCUAACAACUUCUGACGCAAAAUCAAAGAGACUCGAAGAAAACCAAAUUUGAGCUAAUACUCAUCGUCAAAGAUCUCUGAUUUAGGGACAUAAAGUUGACUUAGUGAUUGCAUUAUACCUCGCAUCCCCGCAAAUCCCCAUGAUGUCUUCGAUGUAAACAAGCAACGGUACGAGGCGAAAGCUUUCCAAGAUUAGUCAUGAAGAACACAAGAUCUUAAUGUCAAUAACAUACACUUACGAAAAGCACAAGCACUCCAGAGCACGUAGGUUGAAA
Bemisia tabaci is the source of this 685-nucleotide non-coding RNA. The record is from RefSeq and is a predicted model, not a curated record. Lineage: Eukaryota; Metazoa; Arthropoda; Insecta; Hemiptera; Aleyrodidae.